Long non-coding RNA from Myotis davidii, 192 nucleotides. RefSeq lists it as uncharacterized. The transcript is spliced from 3 exons. Lineage: Eukaryota; Metazoa; Chordata; Mammalia; Chiroptera; Vespertilionidae. The record is from RefSeq and is a predicted model, not a curated record.
CAUCACCAUCAUCAUCAUCAGUGUCAUCCUCGUCAUCGCUGUCAUUUCUGUGCCACUUGUGCUCAGGGCCAUCAGGGACAGAAGGUCACGUGGAGAACUCGCCUUUCCUGGGGUAUUGCUGCCUGUCCCCACCCUGGAGGGGACAGGAAAGUGGACAGAAAGGAACAAGAGUCGAGGACCAGCUACGGGGUC